UGGAUGGGCUAGGGGCCCCACAAGGUUACUGACCCCAACCAAACUCCGAAUGCCAUGACUCCAGAGUGCGGCAGUGAGACCUCGGGGGAUGAGCUUCGAUGGUCGAAAGGGAAACAGCCCAGAUCACCAGCUAAGGCCCCUAAUUCUGUACUAAGUGGUAAACGAUGUGGGAUUGCACAAACAGCCAGGAGGUUGGCUUAGAAGCAGCCACCCUUUAAAGAGUGCGUAAUAGCUCACUGGUCGAGUGGUCCUGCGCGGACAAUGUAACGGGUCUCAAGUACAGAGCCGAAGCUGUGAAUUCCUACCUAGUAGGAGUGGUAGCGGAGCGUCGAUCUCGCGGCGAAGCGCCGGUGUGAACCGUCGUGGAGCAUGGUCGAGUGCGAAUGUAGGUAUGAGUAGCGAGAGAGGGGUGAGAAACCCCUCCGCCGGAAGUCCAAGGGUUCCUGGGUUAGGCUUAUCCGCCCAGGGUUAGUCGGGUGCUAAGGCGAGGCCGAAAGGCGUAGUCGAUGCACAACUGGUUAAUAUUCCAGUACCACCACAUUAUGCGCCCAUGUCAAGGCGAUUUUGGUGAGGGGAUGCCUCAGGCCAUUGUGGCCAGAGGACGAACCGAUCCAGGUCGUUGAGGCAAGCAAUGCGGGGACGCAGGAAGGUAAGUGAUCCCAGGCGAUGGUAGUCCUGGGGUAAGCGUGUAGGGAGAGGUCCAGGUAAGUCCGGCCCUCAUCAAUCCUGAGACGCGACGCCGAGCCGAAUCAGGCGAAGUCACCGAUCCUAUGCUGCCAAGAAAAUCCGCUAGUUAGCACGUGUGGUGCCCGUACCCCAAACCAACACAGGUGGACAGGUAGAGAAUACCAAGGCGAUUGGGAGAACUAUGGUUAAGGAACUCGGCAAAUUACAUCCGUAACUUUGGGAUAAGGAUGACCCUAGUAAAGUAAUGGACUUCGCGUCCGGAGCUUGAUUGGGUGGCACAAACCAGGGGAAAGCGACUGUUUACUAAAAACACAGCAGCGUGCGAAGUCGUAAGACGCUGUAUACGCUGUGACGCCUGCCCGGUGCUGGAAGGUUACGGGGAGGGGUUAGCCGUAAGGCGAAGCUCUGAACCUAAGCCCCAGUAAACGGCGGCCGUAACUAUAACGGUCCUAAGGUAGCGAAAUUCCUUGUCGGGUAAGUUCCGACCUGCACGAAUGGCGUAACGACUUCCCUACUGUCUCAACCAUAGACCCAGCGAAAUUGAAGUACGAGUAAAGAUGCUCGUUAGCUGCAGAAGGACGGAAAGACCCCGUGCACCUUUACUACAGUCUGGUAUUGGUUUUUGGUAUAGGUUGUGUAGGAUAGGUGGGAGACUUGGAAGCGAGGGCGCUAGCUCUCGUGGAGUCAACCUUGAAAUACCACCCUUUCUAUGCUGGGAAUCUAACCUAGAUCCGUUAUCCGGAUCAGGUACAGUGCCAGAUGGGUAGUUUGACUGGGGCGGUCGCCUCCCAAAAGGUAACGGAGGCGCCCAAAGGUUCCCUCAGCCUGGUCGGCCAUCAGGCGUUGAGUGCAAUGACACAAGGGAGCUUGACUGCGAGACGUACAUGUCGAGCAGGUGCGAAAGCAGGGCAUAGUGAUCCGGCGGUUGCGUGUGGAAGCGCCGUCGCUCAACGGAUAAAAGGUACCCCGGGGAUAACAGGCUCAUCUUCCCCAAGAGUCCAUAUCGACGGGAAGGUUUGGCACCUCGAUGUCGGCUCAUCGCAUCCUGGGGCUGAAGCAGGUCCCAAGGGUUGGGCUGUUCGCCCAUUAAAGCGGUACGCGAGCUGGGUUUAGAACGUCGUGAGACAGUUCGGUCCCUAUCCUCUGCAGCCGGAAGAGAUUUGAGGAAAGCUAUCCCUAGUACGAGAGGACCGGGAUGGACGUAGCUCUCGUGUGCCAGUUGUUCCGCCAGGAGCAUGGCUGGUUGGCGACCUACGGGAGGGAUAACCGCUGAAAGCAUCUAAGCGGGAAGCCUUUUCCAAGAUGAGAUCUCUCACCGGGUUAACCGGGUAAGGCCCGUGGCAGAACACCACGUUGAUAGGCCGGAAGUGUACGCACAGCAAUGUGUUCAGCUGACCGGUACUAAUCGGCCGAGGGCUUGGUUUU
This 2112-nucleotide ribosomal RNA is filed under the name Acidimicrobiaceae bacterium. RNAcentral describes it as "partial 23S ribosomal RNA". It matches the Rfam family "Bacterial large subunit ribosomal RNA", at positions 911 to 2925 of the family's 2925-position model. The record is from RNAcentral. Lineage: Bacteria; Bacillati; Actinomycetota; Acidimicrobiia; Acidimicrobiales; Acidimicrobiaceae.